Gallus gallus (chicken) is the source of this 414-nucleotide long non-coding RNA. NCBI's taxonomy places the organism in Eukaryota, Metazoa, Chordata, Aves, Galliformes, Phasianidae. The record is from Ensembl.
CAUGUUUUUGUUGCUUUUUGUUUACUAUUCAUGAACAUCUGGACUAUUAAGAUUCUGCACAAAUGUUUGAAGAAUUGCGGUUUUCUAUAUUAAUACCUGCAUAGCCAUCGUGAAGAGGACUGACAGGAACCACAUGAUGGAUAUCUCAGGAGGUGGAGAUUGCAAAAGUUCUUUAUCAAUAAGUUGCCAGCCAUCAUCUCAAGAGUCUAGAUUUGCUACUUGAAAUAUGCAGCAUAUGAAAUGUGAAAACGACGUGUCAUAUUGCAUCCUAAUUAGAAAUGGUGAGUACUGAAGAAAAACAACCUAUGCACAAUCAUUUAUUUGAGUUUUGAAAUUAACUUAGACUGAUUGUACCCUUUGUGCUCCCUUUCCAUUAAUAUUCCAGCAAAUGAAUUUUCUAGCAGGCAUAAGCAC